This 501-nucleotide unclassified non-coding RNA is filed under the name Hevea brasiliensis (rubber tree). Lineage: Eukaryota; Viridiplantae; Streptophyta; Magnoliopsida; Malpighiales; Euphorbiaceae. The record is from RNAcentral.
GGUGAGUUAGAAGAGGCCUUACAGAAGUUUAAACUUCUUGUCCAAGAGAACCCAAGAGACUUCAGGCCUUAUCUGUGCCAGGGAAUAGUCUACAGUUUGUUGGACAAGAAGAAAGAAGCCGAUGAACAGUUUGAGAUAUAUCGAAGUCUUGUACCCAAAGAAUUUCCCCAGAGAGGUUUCCUUGAUGAUGUGGUGUUGGCUGCAAAGACAGAAACUAGGGAACAACUUGAGAAGGAGUUCAAGAAUGAAUUCUCUUACAAGACAUGAAAAAGCCAUGCUCAAUUAUCACAUUUUCAACUAAGGCUUAUCAUUACUGGAUGGUUAAGGGUAUAUGAGGGGGUUAGGAUAGAAUUAAGAACACUGCUAAUGUAGAGAUACAAUAUAGUUGAAAUCUGAAGUUUAGUCUCCCUUGGAAGAGGAGUGAAGUUGUAGGAAAGUACAUUUUUGUGUUAUCUGUUAUGUUUGAUAUUUCUUGUCUUUUUGGUAAUCGAGAAAUCCCCG